UGGGGAAUAUUGCGCAAUGGGCGAAAGCCUGACGCAGCAACGCCGCGUGAGUGAUGAAGGCCUUCGGGUCGUAAAGCUCUGUCGGAGGGAACGAAUGCUCCUGAAGUUAACAGCCUCAGGAGGUGACGGUACCCUCAAAGGAAGCACCGGCUAACUCUGUGCCAGCAGCCGCGGUAAUACAGAGGGUGCUAGCGUUGUUCGGAAUUACUGGGCGUAAAGGGCGUGUAGGCGGCCUGCCAAGUCAGAUGUGAAAGCCCCGGGCUUAACCUGGGAACUGCAUUUGAGACUGGCCGGCUAGAGGUUGGAAGAGGAGAGUGGAAUUCCCAGUGUAGAGGUGAAAUUCGUAGAUAUUGGGAAGAACACCUGUGGCGAAGGCGGCUCUCUGGUCCGGUACUGACGCUCAAGUGCGAAAGCGUGGGGAGCAAACAGGAUUAGAUACCCAAGUAGUCCCUGAGCGGGCUGGCAAGGCGCAU
RNAcentral lists this ribosomal RNA (473 nucleotides) under uncultured bacterium. RNAcentral's name for it is "bacterial SSU rRNA". It matches the Rfam family "Bacterial small subunit ribosomal RNA", at positions 355 to 825 of the family's 1533-position model. The record is from RNAcentral.